GUUUUUGUAGUUGAAUAACAACAAUGGUUUUUCAGAUCAUGAGUUCUGGUGUAAGUCCAGAUAAGAACU
This 69-nucleotide transfer RNA is filed under the name Goniurosaurus luii. RNAcentral's name for it is "tRNA-Glu". The record is from RNAcentral. Lineage: Eukaryota; Metazoa; Chordata; Lepidosauria; Squamata; Eublepharidae.